CGGGGUGUAGCGUAGCCCGGUAUCGCGCCACAUUUGGGAUGUGGAGGUCGUAGGUUCGA
RNAcentral lists this transfer RNA (59 nucleotides) under Sphingobacterium detergens. RNAcentral's name for it is "tRNA-Pro". It matches the Rfam family "tRNA", at positions 1 to 56 of the family's 71-position model. From Rfam's summary of the family: Transfer RNA (tRNA) molecules are approximately 80 nucleotides in length. Their secondary structure includes four short double-helical elements and three loops (D, anti-codon, and T loops). Lineage: Bacteria; Pseudomonadati; Bacteroidota; Sphingobacteriia; Sphingobacteriales; Sphingobacteriaceae. The record is from RNAcentral.